RNAcentral lists this unclassified non-coding RNA (185 nucleotides) under uncultured Sporothrix. RNAcentral describes it as "sequence contains ITS1". The record is from RNAcentral. Lineage: Eukaryota; Fungi; Ascomycota; Sordariomycetes; Ophiostomatales; Ophiostomataceae.
CCGAGUUCUUUGCAACUCCCAACCCUGUGAACCAUACCCAAGUUUUUGUUCUCGUUGCUUCUGGCAGGCGGCCCUCCGGGGCACGCAGGCUCCGGUGCCACGCCCGGGUGCCUGCCAGAGGCGGCCUGCUCCAACGUCUCUUUCGUACCCGACCGUCUGAGAACGAUUUUUCGCAAAUCGAAUCA